GGGGCAUUAGCUCAGUUGGUAGAGCGCUUCGUUCGCAAUGAAGAGGUCAGGAGUUCGAGCCUCCUAUGCUCCACCA
This 76-nucleotide transfer RNA is filed under the name Neoakkermansia glycaniphila. RNAcentral's name for it is "Akkermansia glycaniphila tRNA". It matches the Rfam family "tRNA". From Rfam's summary of the family: Transfer RNA (tRNA) molecules are approximately 80 nucleotides in length. Their secondary structure includes four short double-helical elements and three loops (D, anti-codon, and T loops). Lineage: Bacteria; Pseudomonadati; Verrucomicrobiota; Verrucomicrobiia; Verrucomicrobiales; Akkermansiaceae. The record is from RNAcentral.